GGGUCCGUAAAGGUUUCGACGGGGAUUUUGAACUAUUGGAAGCGAGCAGUGGUGCAGAACCACUUUAAAAUCUGCAAUUUUAAAAUUAACUGACAACAAUAACGUUGCAUUAGCAGCCUAAUUUGGCUGCCGUCUGACCAGAGAGUACCGCGGCUUUGCGAAGGCGUCAUUUAGCGGUGAACGUGAACGGCAAAUUGUUCCUUUUGCUGUCAUGAAGUAGGAACUACCAAUUUUAACGGUUUGUUAUUUGUCUGUUAAAUAAGGGAAUUUUAAACAACUGACUGCGCUCGGAGAUGCCGAUAGGAAUAGAUUUUCGGACGGGGGUUCGACUCCCCCCGGAUCCACCA
Molecule: transfer-messenger RNA, 347 nt
Filed under: Clostridia bacterium
Lineage: Bacteria; Bacillati; Bacillota; Clostridia
Rfam family: transfer-messenger RNA
About the family: Bacterial tmRNA, also known as 10Sa RNA or SsrA, is named for its dual tRNA and mRNA-like properties. Its role is to liberate the mRNA from a stalled ribosome.
Source: RNAcentral